This 529-nucleotide ribosomal RNA is filed under the name uncultured bacterium. Its description in RNAcentral is "bacterial SSU rRNA". It matches the Rfam family "Bacterial small subunit ribosomal RNA", at positions 355 to 895 of the family's 1533-position model. The record is from RNAcentral.
UGGGGAAUCUUGGACAAUGGGGGCAACCCUGAUCCAGCCAUGCCGCGUGAGUGAUGAAGGCCUUAGGGUCGUAAAGCUCUUUCGCCUGUGAAGAUAAUGACGGUAGCAGGUAAAGAAACCCCGGCUAACUCCGUGCCAGCAGCCGCGGUAAUACGGAGGGGGUUAGCGUUGUUCGGAAUUACUGGGCGUAAAGCGCACGUAGGCGGACCAGAAAGUUGGGGGUGAAAUCCCGGGGGCUCAACCCCGGAACUGCCUCCAAAACUAUUGGUCUAGAGUUCGAGAGAGGUGAGUGGAAUUCCAAGUGUAGAGGUGAAAAUUCGUAGAUAUUUGGAGGAACACCAGUGGCGAAGGCGGCUCACUGGCUCGAUACUGACGCUGAGGUGCGAAAAGUGUGGGGAGCAAAACAGGAUUAGAUACCCUGGUAGUCCACACCGUAAAACGAUGAAAUGCCCAGUCGUCGGGUAGCAUGCUAUUCGGUGACACACCUAACGGAUUAAGCAUUCCGCCUGGGGAGUACGGUCGCAAGAUU